UAACUUAGUGGCGAACGGGUGAGUAACGCGUGAGUAACCUGCCCUGGAGUGGGGGACAACAGUUGGAAACGACUGCUAAUACCGCAUAAGCCCACGGAACCGCAUGGUUCUGAGGGAAAAGGAUUUAUUCGCUUCAGGAUGGACUCGCGUCCAAUUAGCUAGUUGGUGAGGUAACGGCCCACCAAGGCGACGAUUGGUAGCCGGACUGAGAGGUUGAACGGCCACAUUGGGACUGAGACACGGCCCAGACUCCUACGGGAGGCAGCAGUGGGGGAUAUUGCACAAUGGGGGAAACCCUGAUGCAGCGACGCCGCGUGGAGGAAGAAGGUUUUCGGAUUGUAAACUCCUGUCGUUAGGGACGAUAAUGACGGUACCUAACAAGAAAGCACCGGCUAACUACGUGCCAGCAGCCGCGGUAAAACGUAGGGUGCAAGCGUUGUCCGGAAUUACUGGGUGUAAAGGGAGCGCAGGCGGACCGGCAAGUUGGAAGUGAAAACUAUGGGCUCAACCCAUAAAUUGCUUUCAAAACUGCUGGCCUUGAGUAGUGCAGAGGUAGGUGGAAUUCCCGGUGUAGCGGUGGAAUGCGUAGAUAUCGGGAGGAACACCAGUGGCGAAGGCGACCUACUGGGCACCAACUGACGCUGAGGCUCGAAAGCAUGGGUAGCAAACAGGAUUAGAUACCCUGGUAGUCCAUGCCCGUAAACGAUGAUUACUAGGUGUUGGAGGAUUGACCCCUUCAGUGCCGCAGUUAACACAAUAAGUA
This 763-nucleotide ribosomal RNA is filed under the name uncultured bacterium. RNAcentral's name for it is "bacterial SSU rRNA". It matches the Rfam family "Bacterial small subunit ribosomal RNA", at positions 88 to 866 of the family's 1533-position model. The record is from RNAcentral.